This 250-nucleotide ribosomal RNA is filed under the name uncultured bacterium. RNAcentral describes it as "partial 16S ribosomal RNA". It matches the Rfam family "Bacterial small subunit ribosomal RNA", at positions 28 to 269 of the family's 1533-position model. The record is from RNAcentral.
GAUGAACGCUGGCGGCGUGCUUAACACAUGCAAGUCGAACGGGAUCUAAAGAGUGCUUGCACUUUUUGGUGAGAGUGGCGAACGGGUGAGUAACACGUGAGUAACCUGUCCUUUUCUUUGGGAUAAGCAUUCGAAAGGGUGUUUAAUACCUUAUGUUCUGUCUGCCUCGCAUGGGGUGGGUGGGAAAGGCUUUGGCUGGAUUUGGGUGGGCUCGCGGUCUAUCAGCUUGUUGGUGGGGUGAUGGCUUACC